RNAcentral lists this ribosomal RNA (364 nucleotides) under Phoenicolacerta kulzeri (common Eurasian lizard). Its description in RNAcentral is "partial 12S ribosomal RNA". It matches the Rfam family "Bacterial small subunit ribosomal RNA", at positions 866 to 1395 of the family's 1533-position model. The record is from RNAcentral. Lineage: Eukaryota; Metazoa; Chordata; Lepidosauria; Squamata; Lacertidae.
UAUCCGCCAGAGAACUACAAGUGAAAAACUUGAAACUCAAAGGACUUGACGGUGUCCCACAUCAACCUAGAGGAGCCUGUCCUAUAAUCGAUACCCCCCGCUCUACCCUACCUUGACUAGCAAAACUCAGCCUAUAUACCGCCGUCGACAGCCUACCCUAUGAAGGUCUAACAGUAGACACAAUAGCCACACCACUAGUACGUCAGGUCAAGGUGUAGCAAAUGUUAAGGAAGUGAUUGGCUACAUUUUUUAAUUUUUAAAAAACACGGAAUGCACCAUGAAAUCGUUCAUGAAGGUGAAUUUAGUAGUAAAGCAGAUAAGAGUGUCUACUUUAACAAUGCUCUGGGACGCGUACACACCGCCC